This 75-nucleotide small RNA is filed under the name Xanthomonas campestris. RNAcentral's name for it is "sX9 sRNA". It matches the Rfam family "Xanthomonas sRNA sX9". Lineage: Bacteria; Pseudomonadati; Pseudomonadota; Gammaproteobacteria; Lysobacterales; Lysobacteraceae. The record is from RNAcentral. RNAcentral also lists the same sequence under 5 other names.
AUGUACCCACGUACAUUCCGGUUCCUCCGUGCCGUCCACACCCACCUGACGACUGCUCGCUACGUUUUGUCAGCC